This is a non-coding RNA of Salvia hispanica, 611 nucleotides long. Lineage: Eukaryota; Viridiplantae; Streptophyta; Magnoliopsida; Lamiales; Lamiaceae. The record is from RefSeq and is a predicted model, not a curated record.
UUACGGCUAAUUUCUGGAAUUCCGAACGCCUACAACAACUAAACGGUGAAAUCAGUUCACAAGAAUUAUAAUGGCAAGAAAGAGAACAAGAACUGAACCGGCUGAGGACGAGGUUGAAACAAGUAAUAGUGAAUGGAAUAUGAAUGAAGAAGAGAUUGAAGAAAGCACCAAUACCAUGAAUGAAGAUGAAACACAAUCUGUACAAGAAGGUUUAGAUGUUGCAGUACACCCGUUAGAAUAUUGCAGUGCAUCAUUUAGAAUAUUGCAGUAUUCUACCAGCUGCUUCGUGGCAAAUACUGUACAAUACAACAAUGUUGUACAACAACGACAUUCUUGUAAUUGACUCUAUCAUGAGUAUUGCAUCAAAGCACUUCGAGGAGGGGAAAAGAGAGGACCGAUAGAUGUUGAGAAGAUGGUCAUGAACUACAACAAACAGUGACCAAUUAUUGUCUUUUUUUUUCUUCUUCAAACAUAGAGUUUGGUUUCUUUAUUGGUUUUUUGUGUAGAUGAUGUGAUUUGAUAUUUUGAUUUGGUGAUUACUUGUACUUAAAACAAGUCGGUUUUAUUUUGGUGUAGCCAAUGUUGAUGAUGUAAUUUGAAUGUUCUUUGUU